UAAAAAAUAUAUCAAUAUUUUUUUUUCUUUUUUAUAAGGAAAAUUCUUUCAAUAUGCACAUUGUGACUGCACAUACUGUCAACGUACAGAGGCAGCCUGUGUUUUGCAGAAGCACGAUAGUUAACUUUGAGGCAAUUCUAUUCUAUCAUCUUUCUUAUUCUAUCAACGUAAUGAAACGAAGAAAGAAAUUUGGUUACCAGAUAUAGGAACUUUUGGUCCUUCGGUACAACGUGUAUCUAAAAAUAUGACAGUAAAAAUACUAAGCUUGGAUUAAAUAUCCAUCAAAUUAAAAUAUUUAUUUUUCUCUUUUCAUUAAAAAAUUAAAACAAACAGAAUGUAACAUCAUUAUUUUUGUUCUUCUUCUAUGAUUAUAGUAAAUAAGAAUUUGAAGAAAGUUGUGAAUAUUAUAAUUUAGUUGAAAAUGAUUUAAGUGUAACAAAAGAACAUUAACGUAUCACGUAACAGGAUAAAAUGGUUAGCAUUGAUAAUCUAACUACGAAUGAUGCGGAUACACAUGCUUCGAGAUGAUAGUUUAACAGUUGAAAGUUUAGAUGGAAAUAGAUUAUAUUUGAAUUCAAUGGCUCAAUUUAGAAUCUACAAUUUUGGCACAUAAUAUCGUUGAAAAUUUUGAAGUUAGGUGUGAUCGUUCGUUAUUGAAGGAUAAUAUGAUAUCUAUUUAUAUUCUUAUAUUUUUAUAUAUUCAAUGAUAGGCAAUGAAAGAGAUUGACAUGGUGAAAUUAAAUAGAAAUUUGAAAAUGAUAUGAUAAGCAAUAUGUAAUUGAACAAAUAAAUCAUAGAAAAAAAUUGAAGAUAAAUUUAUGAGCAAAAAUAAAUAUAAAUCUGAUGAUAUCUUCGUUAACAAUAUUCCUACGCAUUUAGAAGCAUUGAGAAAGAAAAAACGAAGGAAAUACAAUAUUGUACUAGUACUUAAUUUGAAAAAUAAUUUGAUAGAUAAGAAGGGAAAGAGAUCAAAAAGCUGAAAAAAAUUGUUUGAAACGAACAUAUAUAUAUAUAUAUAAACGGGUAAUAUAUAGUAAAACUGUCAUAUUUCACAUGAAACGCAAUAAUAUAAAUUAUUGGAUUAUCUAAAAAAUUAUAUUACACACUUAGACAACUGAUAUUACUACUAUUAGUUUGAUUAUUAUCGAAAUCUUAUUGAAGUCUUACUUAUAAUUUAAUAUAUGGUCACAAAAAUAUUUUUAUACUAUCUUGUAAAGAAAUUGAAUUAUUAUGAAAGAUUUGA
This is a long non-coding RNA of Apis mellifera (honey bee), 1243 nucleotides long. RefSeq lists it as uncharacterized. The record is from RefSeq and is a predicted model, not a curated record. The transcript has 3 exons. NCBI's taxonomy places the organism in Eukaryota, Metazoa, Arthropoda, Insecta, Hymenoptera, Apidae.